This 876-nucleotide ribosomal RNA is filed under the name uncultured bacterium. RNAcentral's name for it is "bacterial SSU rRNA". It matches the Rfam family "Bacterial small subunit ribosomal RNA", at positions 8 to 916 of the family's 1533-position model. The record is from RNAcentral.
AGAGUUUGAUCCUGGCUCAGGAUGAACGCUGGCGGCGUGCCUAAUACAUGCAAGUCGAACGAUAGCCUUGUUUUCGGAUGGUGGACAGUGGCGCACGGGUGAGUAACGCGUGGGUAUCUGCCCUGGAGUGGGGGACAACUGCUGGAAACGGCAGCUAAUACCGCAUACGCCCUUAGGGGGAAAGCUUUAUGCGCUCCAGGAUGAGCCCGCGUCGGAUUAGCUUGUUGGUGAGGUAACGGCUCACCAAGGCGACGAUCCGUAGCUGGUCUGAGAGGAUGAUCAGCCACACUGGGACUGAGACACGGCCCAGACUCCUACGGGAGGCAGCAGUGGGGAAUAUUGGACAAUGGGCGCAAGCCUGAUCCAGCAACGCCGCGUGUGCGAAGAAGGCCUUCGGGUCGUAAAGCACUUUUCUGGGAGAUGAGAAAGGACAGUAUCCCAGGAAUAAGUCUCGGCUAACUACGUGCCAGCAGCCGCGGUAAAACGUAGGAGGCGAGCGUUAUCCGGAUUCACUGGGCGUAAAGCGCGUGCAGGCGGUUUGGUAAGUUGGGCGUGAAAGCUCCCGGCUCAACUGGGAGAGGUCGUCCAAAACUACCAGACUAGAGAGCGAUAGAGGAAAAUGGAAUUCCCGGUGUAGUGGUGAAAUGCGUAGAUAUCGGGAGGAACACCAGUGGCGAAGGCGAUUUUCUGGAUCGUUUCUGACGCUCAGACGCGAAAGCUAGGGUAGCAAACGGGAUUAGAGACCCCGGUAGUCCUAGCUGUAAACGAUGUGAACUUGGCGUUGGUGGCUUAAACACCAUCAGUGCCGUAGCUAACGCGAUAAGUUCACCGCCUGGGGACUACGACCGCAAGGUUAAAACUCAAAGGAAUUGACGG